AACUCCGGUGGUACAAGAUGGACCCGCGUCUGAUUAGCUGGUUGGUGAGGUAACGGCCCACCAAGGCGACGAUCAGUAGCCGGCCUGAGAGGGUGAACGGCCACAUUGGGACUGAGACACGGCCCAAACUCCUACGGGAGGCAGCAGUGGGGAAUAUUGCACAAUGGGGGAAACCCUGAUGCAGCAACGCCGCGUGAGUGAAGAAGUAUUUCGGUAUGUAAAGCUCUAUCAGCAGGAAAGAAAAUGACGGUACCUGACUAAGAAGCCCCGGCUAACUACGUGCCAGCAGCCGCGGUAAUACGUAGGGGGCAAGCGUUAUCCGGAUUUACUGGGUGUAAAGGGAGCGUAGACGGUUUUGCAAGUCUGAAGUGAAAGCCCGGGGCUUAACCCCGGGACUGCUUUGGAAACUGUGGGACUAGAGUGCAGGAGAGGUAAGUGGAAUUCCUAGUGUAGCGGUGAAAUGCGUAGAUAUUAGGAGGAACACCAGUGGCGAAGGCGGCUUACUGGACUGUAACUGACGUUGAGGCUCGAAAGCGUGGGGAGCAAACAGGAUUAGAUACCCUGGUAGUCCACGCCGUAAACGAUGACUACUAGGUGUUGGUGGGUACGACCCAUCGGUGCCGCAGCAAACGCAAUAAGUAAUCCACCUGGGGAGUA
This 657-nucleotide ribosomal RNA is filed under the name uncultured bacterium. Its description in RNAcentral is "bacterial SSU rRNA". It matches the Rfam family "Bacterial small subunit ribosomal RNA", at positions 205 to 882 of the family's 1533-position model. The record is from RNAcentral.